This 465-nucleotide ribosomal RNA is filed under the name uncultured bacterium. RNAcentral describes it as "partial 16S ribosomal RNA". It matches the Rfam family "Bacterial small subunit ribosomal RNA", at positions 29 to 507 of the family's 1533-position model. The record is from RNAcentral.
ACGAACGCUGGCGGCGUGCUUAACACCUGCAAGUCGCACGGAAAGGCCCUGCUUGCAGGGUACUCGAGUGGCGAACGGGUGAGUAACACGUGGGUGAUCUGCCCUGCACUUCGGGAUAAGCUUGGGAAACUGGGUCUAAUACCGGAUAGGAGCCAUCUUUAGUGUGGUGGUUGGAAAGUUUUUUCGGUGUAGGAUGAGCUCGCGGCCUAUCAGCUUGUUGGUGGGGUAAUGGCCUACCAAGGCGGCGACGGGUAGCCGGCCUGAGAGGGUGUACGGCCACAUUGGGACUGAGAUACGGCCCAGACUCCUACGGGAGGCAGCAGUGGGGAAUAUUGCACAAUGGGCGCAAGCCUGAUGCAGCGACGCCGCGUGGGGGAUGAAGGCCUUCGGGUUGUAAACUCCUUUCGCUAGGGACGAAGCUUUUUUGUGACGGUACCUAGAUAAGAAGCACCGGCUAACUACGUG